This 429-nucleotide ribosomal RNA is filed under the name Chloroflexota bacterium. RNAcentral describes it as "Chloroflexi bacterium partial 16S ribosomal RNA". It matches the Rfam family "Bacterial small subunit ribosomal RNA", at positions 355 to 776 of the family's 1533-position model. The record is from RNAcentral. Lineage: Bacteria; Bacillati; Chloroflexota.
UGGGGAAUAUUGCACAAUGGGCGCAAGCCUGAUGCAGCCAUGCCGCGUGUGUGAAGAAGGCCUUCGGGUUGUAAAGCACUUUCAGCGGGGAGGAAGGCGUUAAGGUUAAUAACCUUGGCGAUUGACGUUACCCGCAGAAGAAGCACCGGCUAACUCCGUGCCAGCAGCCGCGGUAAUACGGAGGGUGCAAGCGUUACUCGGAAUUACUGGGCGUAAAGCGCACGCAGGCGGUCUGUCAAGUCGGAUGUGAAAUCCCCGGGCUCAACCUGGGAACUGCAUUCGAAACUGGCAGGCUAGAGUCUUGUAGAGGGGGGUAGAAUUCCAGGUGUAGCGGUGAAAUGCGUAGAGAUCUGGAGGAAUACCGGUGGCGAAGGCGGCCCCCUGGACAAAGACUGACGCUCAGGUGCGAAAGCGUGGGGAGCAAACAGG